RNAcentral lists this ribosomal RNA (296 nucleotides) under uncultured bacterium. RNAcentral's name for it is "partial 16S ribosomal RNA". It matches the Rfam family "Bacterial small subunit ribosomal RNA", at positions 30 to 326 of the family's 1533-position model. The record is from RNAcentral.
AUUGAACGCUGGCGGCAUGCCUUACACAUGCAAGUCGAACGGCAGCACGGGAGCAAUCCUGGUGGCGAGUGGCGAACGGGUGAGUAAUAUAUCGGAACGUGCCCAGUCGUGGGGGAUAACGUAGCGAAAGCUACGCUAAUACCGCAUACGAUCUAUGGAUGAAAGCGGGGGAUCGCAAGACCUCGCGCGAUUGGAGCGGCCGAUAUCAGAUUAGGUAGUUGGUGAGGUAAAGGCUCGCCAAGCGACGAUCUGUAGCUGGUCUGAGAGGACGGACCAGCCACACUGGGACUGAGACA